UCGCAUACGUUUUCUCUGAAACUGAUAUUCCAUUUCUGCAUUAUUUUCCUUCUCACCAGUAAUGUGCACCUGAUUUUGGUUAUCGAUAGUUGAGGAAAUGACCGAACAUGAUGUACCCGAGCUUAUAUCUUUAGUAAAAGUCAAUAAAGGAGCAUUUGCAUGCCUUAACUCCUUUACUCAAGUUUUUAUGUUUUAAUAUUACUGUAAUAUAGCUGCUCCUGGAAUAGAAAUGCUUUUGCUUUUACAACAUCAAAUAAGCUAUAAAUUUAGAAAUUAAUAUAUCCCCAUUCAACCAUUUAUGUUGAGUUAAAUUAAAAUAAAACUAUGAUAUACCGUCAAUGUUUCUUGGAUAAUAUAAGAUUGGUUGUUUAAUUGGGCGUGCUUUCUUGAA
RNAcentral lists this long non-coding RNA (391 nucleotides) under Medicago truncatula (barrel medic). Its description in RNAcentral is "long non-coding RNA (MTRU_LNC007847)". The record is from RNAcentral. Lineage: Eukaryota; Viridiplantae; Streptophyta; Magnoliopsida; Fabales; Fabaceae.